CCUACGGGUGGCAGCAGUGGGGAAUAUUGGGCAAUGGACGCAAGUCUGACCCAGCAACGCCGCGUGAAGGAAGAAGGCUUUCGGGUUGUAAACUUCUUUUAAGGGGGAAGAGCAGAAGACGGUACCACUUGAAUAAGCCACGGCUAACUACGUGCCAGCAGCCGCGGUGAUACGUAGGUGGCAGGCGUUGUCCGGAUGUACUGGGGGUAAAGGGCGUGCAGCCGGAGAGACAAGUCAGAUGUGAAAUACACGGGCUCAACCCGUGAACUGCAUUUGAAACUGUUUCCCUUGAGUGUCGGAGAGGUAAUCGGAAUUCCUGGUGUAGCGGUGAAAUGCGUAGAUAUAAGGAAGAACACCAGUGGCGAAGGCAGAUUACUGGACGAUAACUGACGGUGAGGCGCGAAAGCGUGGGGAGCAAACAGGAUUAGAUACCCCUGUAGUC
This 442-nucleotide ribosomal RNA is filed under the name uncultured bacterium. RNAcentral's name for it is "partial 16S ribosomal RNA". It matches the Rfam family "Bacterial small subunit ribosomal RNA", at positions 338 to 795 of the family's 1533-position model. The record is from RNAcentral.